Non-coding RNA from Cherax quadricarinatus, 3909 nucleotides. The record is from RefSeq and is a predicted model, not a curated record. NCBI's taxonomy places the organism in Eukaryota, Metazoa, Arthropoda, Malacostraca, Decapoda, Parastacidae.
CACUCACUUGGCAGGACAGAAGUACCUCCCUGGGCAGUUGCUGUCUACCAACCUACUACCUAGGAAAUUUACUGCUUAUUUACAUUUAAAGCCAUUAAACUUAUAUUUGACUCAGGAAUGAUUAAAGAAUUGCUGCUCACCCUUUCAGACAGAUUAAGCCUGAUGCUGUUGGGGAGGAAUUUGCAUGGUCUUCAUUUAUGUAGCUCCCAGACUGUAUAACAGGUUACUAGUGUCUGUUAAGCCAGGAAUCUGUUCAUGCUUUUAAAUUUCAGUUACCAGCACAUCUCUGCCAGUUCUCCAUGGUUUUAUUCACAAUUGAAACAGGUAGCCGAAUGUGGUUGAGCACCUGCACAGCAUCUGGUGUUGAGCACUUGUAUGCUUGCACACAAGAGAAGGAACACACACUCAUACUUCUGUUACAAAGGUUAAACUGCGAGGUGGUUAUUCCUAUGGCGAUUCAUUGAGCCUGAAUCACAUAAGUGUUGCAGGUCACCAUUUCAGUGAAUGCCAGAAUAUAGAAACAAAAUAUUCAGUAAUGGUCCCUGCAUUUCUUGCAGAACUAAUCCUUUUCUUAGUCACACAAAACCUAGGGACAAAUAAUUUUUAAUAUCCAGUGUAGUUAUAAAGGUGCACAAGGAAAAAAUAACCAUAAUUCAGCUGGGAGAAGGCCAUAAACUUGUGUUCUUUUCCAGAUACAGAAGCCGAUCUCGACCCAUGCUUUCCAUCACUGCUGGCCCAAGUGAGGAUCGUGCUCGACGGCGUGAUAGAGAAGAGCGUGGUUAUCGAUCUCACCGCCGCAAUGAACCAAACGUGUAACAGCUGAUAGUUAUAAUCUUAAUCAUUCAUUAAUGUAUUUGGAUUUCCCCAAUAUUUACUUAUAGAUAUCAUAUAUCAUUUACUAUAGUGGAUAUUAUAUUGAUAGGAAGAAAUGAAAAUGUUUAAUAUCAUACUACCAUUAGCCUUAAGAAUGAGUUAGUUUAAUUAGAAAGAUAAAUGUAGUUCAAAAUACAUGGCUAGGAUUAUUUGACAUUAUAUAUUUGAUGAAGUGAUUAUGUUAAUAAAGAUAUAUUUCAUCCUGUUGUGCAUAAAUUUGGUUAAAACACACACACAUGCUGGUGAUAAUUUUCUCCAUGUUAUGAAGUCAGUACAACAUCAUUUAAAUGUAAGUAUACUAGUUUAUGAUAGUUAGGGAGACUUGAAUAUGAAUAAUAUGAAACCCAUAAUGGGCCUCUUAAGCUUCUGACCAGCCACCUGCAUUUUGGAUAUAAAUGAAAUAAAUACACCUUUUUUGAAUUGCGACCAUCAUGGUGAUAUUCAAGACCUAACCAUUACGUGUACUAGUAGGUGUAUUACCAUUAUUAGGUUAAUAUUGAAGUUGAAAAUUGGGAUUGAGUUCUAACCAGAUUACUUGAUUGUAUUAGCAACCAUAGCUAAUAUAUUGCUCUUUUCCCUUAACCUCCUAAAAAGUUAAUGGAAUUUUUUUUAAGUAUUAGAAUAUGGCAGUUAGCUUAAAUUACAUGACAUAGAUGACUUAGCAUUUCUUGAAGGCCAUAAGAAUGUUUUGAGAAGUGAAAAAAGGACUAUCCAUCAGACUGUUAACAUUCAACUUUGUGUAUGGGUAUUACCAAGGCUUGUUUCAAUAAAUUACAAGUAUUAAGCCCAAAUAACUAUAAAUUUAGGAAUGCAUUAAGUAUUUUUAUUUGUGAUGCAAAAAGUUUGUAUCUCAGUAGGGACUUCAUUCCCUACACUUCUCAGGUGACAGCAUGGAGUAUAUGCACAUCAAAUGUAAGGAAACAUCCAUAUUUUUCAUGGUCUCAAAAAAGUUACCAUUUUUGUACUGCUGUAUCCAACUUUGCUGUAUUUAUUACUGCCUAUGGCAAACCUCAAAUAGUAAAGACCUUAUUAUUAGUUCCUUGAUAGUGUGAAAACUAGUGUGUAUGGUAUCAGUAGAUGUGUUAAUCUAAUCCAUACUUGCCUCAUUAUUAUGAUACAAGAAGUAUCCAAAUGUGUGUGUAUAUCUAAGAAAAUAUGUACAUUUGUUUAUCAUUGUGAUUUAUGUGAUGUAAAUUUUUUUCAUUCAUAAUUUUUUAUAUCUCCAAGAUGGUAAUUUAACUUGUUUAACCUGAAUUUUUGUCACUCAUAAUUUUCUUAUUCGAGAGAACACUCAUCUAUUCAACAGUUAAAAUGCCUAACACUGGUACAUUAUAAGUUCUUUGGAAAAAAAUCAAUACAACACUAAUAUAAUUUAGUUUCAAAUAUUAAAGAAAAAAAUCAGUAUUUUAAGAGUAUACCUUAGGUAAAAUUUUAGUAAUACAAAAAAAAAUAAAAAUAAAAUGAAAAAGUCCCUGGCACUAGAUUUCAAGUUCCCACAUGGUUGGUGAAAAUUAAGUUUGUCAUAUUUAUUUUCACCUUUAUUCAGUUUAAGUGUGUGUAUUGUAGUUACUAUAUUGAGGUUGUCUUGACCCCACUACCUUCAAUAUUAUCACCCAUACAUAAUAUUAGGACAAGUGGAUCAUAGAGAAAAGGCAGUGUCAGUAACUAGCGAAUAAGAGAUGAAUUGGAUCUGGUAGAAAUGUUCACUUAAACAUUUGUAUACAUCCACUCUCUAUUGGUUAACUACUUUUGAAAGAUAUUCAGUGGAAUAGAUAAUAAAAUAUGGAGAUAUUUUAUUGGAUAGAUAUCAGAUUUUGUCUAGUUCAUUCUGUAGACAGAAUUGAAACUGAAGCAAUAAAUGACAAAUGAUUAGAGUACACGACUAACCUUUGCAUCAAAGUGAAAUAAUGAUGAGGUGAUGUUCUGUUUUCAAGUAGUUUAUGAAUGGUGUGAGAGGUGACUAGUAUAAACACAAUUUAUAUUCUAGAGUGAGCAUGAGUAUUUCAUGUAGAUUCUCUUUUUCAGUACAGAAUUAAGACUUGGCACCCUGGCCAUUUCCCAACAAAGCCAUGUCAUUUACACACUAGUUAUUUGUGCCCCUCUGGAAAGACGUGACAAUGAUGACCCUCAAAUUGCACCAUCCCCUUCCUAUUUUACAUGCCAAUAUUACACUCGCCCCUCCAAAACGAGUCUGGUUUUCCUAACUCUUACCCUAAUUGUUACUAGUGUUGGUAAUUCAAAGUUAGUAAGAGUAUAAUACUUUGCAUCCAUUUCAACUUGAGUGAAUCAUACCAAAUUCUUAGCUAACAUUUCAGCUACUCAUUGAACUACUACUAUAAUCAAGGGGGAAGCACUAAACCCGUAGGAUUAUACAGCGCCUAUGGGGGGAUAGAAGGCAUUCAGGCUUAAUUCAGGGAACUGGAGCACAGAUCCAAUUCCCUAGAUCAAGAGCCCCUCACCAGCGUCAAGGAGCCUUCCUUGAGGGGACUACUCAUUGAAAAGCUAGCCUUAAAUUCUUCAGUGUUAAAUACAAGUCCACUUUUGUCUAACAAUGGAUUAGAAUCUCCUUAAGUUACUAGUUGUCUUUAUAAUGAGUAGUGUCUUAAUGUUAAUAUUUAACAUGCAAAUACAAUAUUAUACUUCAUUAAUAUGGCAACAUUUCUUUGUGGGGAUGAUUAACUGAACAUGUAUAUCGAGGAAGACUUAAAAUAUCUUUUAGUAUAUACCUAUUACCAGCAUAUAGAUAAUGUGCUUUUCCAUAUUGUUUCAAAAUGUAGAAUACUGACAGUGCCUAGUGUUGCUUGAGAUACAGUGUAGAGUUCUAAGAGAAAAGGCAGAUAUUCAAAAAAAAAAUCAUGAAGUGACUCAGGAGAAUAAGACACGUAAACAUCUAACAUUUUUCUGUAUGGACGCUAAAACACCAAAGAAUAUGCCACCAUCAAUGCCUUAUAGUUGGAUGUACUAUUAUGGAUUUCCUCUUUCUGCUUCUUUGGACUUUGUGCAAAGCUAUUUAUUAAAAAUAAAAGUACUUUCAAA